Molecule: long non-coding RNA, 1589 nt
Filed under: Canis lupus familiaris (dog)
Lineage: Eukaryota; Metazoa; Chordata; Mammalia; Carnivora; Canidae
Description: lncRNA (ENSCAFG00845023476.1)
Source: RNAcentral
GAGAACAGCCCGGCAGGUCCCGAGGCGCGGGCUGGGGACUGUGCCGCGGAAAGUUCCCAGUCCCCAGCCGCAGGUAAACGCAGAGGGAAUAGACAGAGGCUCCCCCGUUUGCAUCAGCAAAUGCGAAAACAUAAUAGCAACAGCAGCGGCAUCCUCUCUCCGGAGCGGGGUUUCCAAUGACGCUAACAUUCUUUUUCCUUUAAGUACAGAACGGUCCCCUGCGGCUUCCCGCUAAUGGAUGACCCGAGAGUGACACCGCCACAACCUGCGAGAAAAGGAGAGCCCCUUCCCCGCCCCGAGAUCUGCGGGAUUGAAAUGAAAAAAUCUUGAGCUCUUCCAGCUGACUCAUCAGAAUCCUGGAGCAAUUUUUUUUUUUUUUAAUGACGGGCCGAAUGUUGUGCUCUUCAGCUCUACUUCUCAAAGCAAGAAAAAGAACUUCUCAAACAAAUCUGUGAGAAACAGCAGAAAUUGUGCUCUUCCCACAACGUGAGGCCCUCAAAUAGAGAACAGUGGUCUUCACCUGGGAAGCAUCCUGGGAGCACCUGGGAACUCAAUGGUGGCAACAGAUGGAGAUUCUGGAAGGGGAAAUCGAGGUUUGAAACUUUUGGACCUCUCUUGACUGCAACAUGUUCCCUGGAAGAAUUUGCUGUGGCCAAGUUCAAGAAAGUUGUUGCCUGUGUUCUUCUCUAAGAUUUUGAUGGAUUCUUGUCUCACAUUUAGAUCUUUCAACCAUUUUGACUUUAUCUUUGUGCAUGGUGUGAACAAAUGGUUCAGUUUCAUUCUUCUGCAUGUGAAUUGCCCGAACAUUUCAUUUAUUUUAUUUAUUUUUUGCCCUAAUUUUUUAAUAAACAUUGUAGGAAGAAUGAUUCAAGGCAAAUUAAACAUUUAUUAUAAAACUUCUAUAGACAUUUGAUGGAUUUGCAGACUGGGAAUGUAUUUGAAUAGAUUUGUCAAACAAACAUCCAAUAAUGUAAAAUCUUUAACAUCAAAGUCUUCCUUGUGUUGGUGCUUAAAAAUGUUGGUUGUAACAUCUGUGUUUUAAUCUUGGCUCUACAUUUGCACCUUGAACAAAUUCUUAUGUCUUCUGAUCGCCAGUUUUCACAUCUAAAAAAGUCGAAUGAGAAAUAGGACCUUGUCAUAGGUUUAUUGUGAUUAAUAAGUGAAUAAUUCAUAUAAAAUGACAUUGUAAGUCUUCAUCAAAUAUUAAGUAUAAUAAUAAGCUAACUUUUAAUCUCUACCCUUGGAAUUUGUCCUUAAUAUAUUGUUGAAGUAUUAUUUAAGAAGAAAUUCUUGCAUCUAAAAUAUGCUGAACAAUUAUACAUUUGGGUGAUGGAUUAUCUCAUGGAACUCUUCUUUUUUUAAUUUUCUAAUCCUGGGUUUCAGGAAUCAAAAUUUGAAUUUAGAAAAGAAGUUAGGGAUUCCUGAGUGGCUCAGUGGUUUAGCGUCUGCCUUUGGCCCAGGGCACGAUCGUGGAGUCCCGGGAUCAAGUCCCAUUUCGGGCUCCCGGUGCGUGGAGCCUGCUUCUCCCUCUACCUGUGUCUCUGCCUCUCUCUCUCUCUGUCUCUCUCUAUCAUAAGUACAUAAAUAAA